Molecule: ribosomal RNA, 254 nt
Filed under: uncultured bacterium
Lineage: Bacteria
Description: partial 16S ribosomal RNA
Rfam family: Bacterial small subunit ribosomal RNA
Source: RNAcentral
GACAGAGGGUGCAAACGUUGCUCGGAAUUACUGGGCGUAAAGCGCGUGUAGGUGGUCACGCAAGUCAGGUGUGAAAGCCCAGGGCUCAACCCUGGAAGUGCACAUGAUACUACGUGGCUGGAGUACUGAAGAGGAGAGCGGAAUUCCCGGUGUAGAGGUGAAAUUCGUAGAUAUCGGGAAGGAACACCAGUGGCGAAGGCGGCGAUCUGGGAAGAUACUGACGCUGAGGUGCGAAAGCGUGGGGAGCGAACAGG